This 324-nucleotide unclassified non-coding RNA is filed under the name uncultured fungus. RNAcentral's name for it is "partial internal transcribed spacer 2". Lineage: Eukaryota; Fungi. The record is from RNAcentral.
AACGCAUAUUGCACCCGAUCUAGGUCGGGUCUGCCUGGCUGAGUAUCAGUACGGACCCAAAGAACAACUAAAGGUGUGCUUCUUUGGUGCUCGCAUUCUGUUAAGAAGGCGGAUGUGAGUGAUCCAGCGAUUUUGCUAUUGCUGGUCACUUGAAAUGAUCAAUCGAGUCGUCGUCCAAUUCAUCAUUCACGGCAAUCUUUGUGAUCGUCCCAGUUGGGAUGUCCUUUUGCCGUCUGAUUGACACCGCGGCGAACCGAACACCGUGCAAACUACUCUUACUCCAUCCUUGAUCUCAGAUUAGGCAGGAUGACCCGCUGAACUUAA